Molecule: long non-coding RNA, 217 nt
Filed under: Paramuricea clavata
Lineage: Eukaryota; Metazoa; Cnidaria; Anthozoa; Malacalcyonacea; Plexauridae
Source: RNAcentral
GGAAAAAACGCACAAAAAGUAAAAAAAAAUAACCAUCAUUUAUCAUUACUUAUUAGAGGAGGAUAGCAAUGGUCAGGUGUGUGGGGGUGUACUCCGCCAGAAAAUUUUUGAAAUUUGAAGCACGGAAAUGCCAUUUCCUGCAUUCUGAGCAUUCAAAUUUGCUCUAAAAUUUAUGCUAACUAUACUUGUAUUUGAAAUAAAAGAUGGAAAAAAUGCA